CUUGAACCCCUGAGCUCAAGUGAUCCGCCGGCCUCAGCCUCCCACAGUGCUGGGAUCACAGGCAUGAGCCACCACACCUGGCCCGUCUUCACAAUUGUAUCUGCUUCCUGGGUGAUGUGAGGAUGAAACAAAAUAGGAUUUUAAGGGCCCAGGACUUCACACAUCGUAGGGGCCCCUUCCCAGCUGCCUGCCUGCCCUAGCCAGCUCCCAGGUGAAGAGGCUCUCGGCUUCCAGGCGGAAACAGCACUUCAUCAACCAGGCAGUGCGGAACUCAGACCUCGUGCCCAAGGCCAAGGGGCGGAAGAGCCUCCAGCGCCUGGAGAACACCCAGUACCUCCUGACCCUGCUGGAGACAGACGGGGGCCCGCCUGGGCUGGAGGACGGGGACUUGGCACCCCCUGCAUCACCAGGCAUUUUUGCCGAGGCCUGCAACAACGCCACCUACGUGGAGGUCUGGAACGAUUUCAUGAACCGCUCCGGGGAGGAGCAGGAGCGGGUUCUUCGCUACCUGGAGGAUGAGGGCAGGAGCAAGGCGCGGAGGAGGGGCCCUGGCCGGGGGGAGGACCGGAGGAGAGAGGAUCCUGCCUAUACACCCCGCGAGUGCUUCCAGCGCAUCAGCCGGCGUCUGCGAGCCGUCCUGAAGCGCAGCCGCAUCCCCAUGGAAACGCUGGAGACCUGGGAGGAGCGGCUGCUUCGGUUCUUCUCCGUGUCCCCCCAGGCCGUGUACACAGCAAUGCUGGACAACAGCUUCGAGAGGCUCCUGCUGCACGCCGUCUGCCAGUACAUGGACCUCAUCUCGGCCAGUGCCGACCUGGAGGGGAAGCG
This 825-nucleotide small RNA is filed under the name Pongo abelii (Sumatran orangutan). RNAcentral describes it as "processed transcript". Lineage: Eukaryota; Metazoa; Chordata; Mammalia; Primates; Hominidae. The record is from RNAcentral.